UACGUAGGUGGCGAGCGUUGUCCGGAAUUACUGGGUGUAAAGGGAGCGUAGGCGGGAAGACAAGUUGGAUGUGAAAUACCCAGGCUCAACCUGGGGGCUGCAUCCAAAACUGUUUUUCUUGAGUGGAGUAGAGGUAGGCGGAAUUCCUAGUGUAGCGGUGAAAUGCGUAGAUAUUAGGAGGAACACCAGUGGCGAAGGCGGCCUACUGGGCUUUAACUGACGCUGAGGCUCGAAAGCGUGGGGAGCAAAC
This 250-nucleotide ribosomal RNA is filed under the name uncultured bacterium. Its description in RNAcentral is "partial 16S ribosomal RNA". It matches the Rfam family "Bacterial small subunit ribosomal RNA", at positions 524 to 773 of the family's 1533-position model. The record is from RNAcentral.